CUAAUAUGGCAGAUUUAUGUAAUGGAUUUAAAACCCAUUUAUAAAGGAUAUAUCCUUUUUUUAGAA
This 66-nucleotide transfer RNA is filed under the name Diplodoma laichartingella. RNAcentral's name for it is "tRNA-Leu". The record is from RNAcentral. Lineage: Eukaryota; Metazoa; Arthropoda; Insecta; Lepidoptera; Psychidae.